RNAcentral lists this non-coding RNA (157 nucleotides) under Collinsella stercoris DSM 13279. RNAcentral's name for it is "RT-2 RNA". It matches the Rfam family "RT-2 RNA", at positions 40 to 222 of the family's 222-position model. From Rfam's summary of the family: Coriobacteriales (Actinobacteria), Clostridiales (Firmicutes). Downstream gene The record is from Rfam by way of RNAcentral. Lineage: Bacteria; Bacillati; Actinomycetota; Coriobacteriia; Coriobacteriales; Coriobacteriaceae.
CGGGCGCGUGCCCGUAAAUUUGCACCCCGAGACGGUUGCCGUUCGCUUCUUGCAUGGCGCGGGAUUUGGCACCUGCCCGCGCUUCAUGGUCAUCCGUCAAGCGGCUUGCGGGUGCCGCAUGAAGCCGUUCGGGGUGCCUCCCAUGAACUCUGAUGAG